RNAcentral lists this ribosomal RNA (592 nucleotides) under uncultured bacterium. Its description in RNAcentral is "bacterial SSU rRNA". It matches the Rfam family "Bacterial small subunit ribosomal RNA", at positions 97 to 684 of the family's 1533-position model. The record is from RNAcentral.
GGCGAACGGGUGAGUAAUGCAUCGGAACGUGCCCAUCUGUGGGGGAUAGCUCGGCGAAAGCCGGAUUAAUACCGCAUACGAUCUACGGAUGAAAGCGGGGGACCUUCGGGCCUCGCGCAGAUGGAGCGGCCGAUGUUAGAUUAGGUAGAUGGUGGGGUAAAGGCUCACCAAGCCAACCAUCUAUAGCUGGUCUGAGAGGACGAUCAGCCACACUGGGACUGAGACACGGCCCAGACACCUACGGGAGGCACCCAGUGGGGAAUUUUGGACAAUGGGCGCAAGCCUGAUCCAGCAAUACCGCGUGCAGGAAGAAGGCCUUCGGGUUGUAAACUGCUUUUGUACGGAACGAAAAGGUCUUGGCUAAUAUCCGAGGCUCAUGACGGUACCGUAAGAAUAAGCACGGGCUAACUACGUGCCAGCAGCCGCGGUAAUACGUAGGGUGCAAGCGUUAAUCGGAAUAACUGGGCGUAAAGCGUGCGCAGGCCGUUGUGUAAGACAGGUGUGAAAUCCCCGAGCUCAACUUGGGAAUUGCACUUGUGACAGCACAACUAGAGUGCGGCAGAGGGGGAUGGAAUUCCGCGUGUAGCAGUGA